GUGUUCCUACGGGGGGCAGCAGUCGAGAAUCAUUCACAAUGGGGGAAACCCUGAUGGUGCGACGCCGCGUGAGUGAAGAAGUAUUUCGGUAUGUAAAGCUCUAUCAGCAGGGAAGAUAAUGACGGUACCUGAGUAAGAAGCCCCGGCUAACUACGUGCCAGCGGCCGCGGUAAUACGUAGGGGGCAAGCGUUAUCCGGAUUUACUGGGUGUAAAGGGAGCGUAGACGGCAUGGCAAGUCUGAAGUGAAAGCCCGGGGCUCAACCGCGGGACUGCUUUGGAAACUGUUAAGCUGGAGUGCAGGAGA
RNAcentral lists this ribosomal RNA (305 nucleotides) under uncultured bacterium. Its description in RNAcentral is "bacterial SSU rRNA". It matches the Rfam family "Bacterial small subunit ribosomal RNA", at positions 333 to 655 of the family's 1533-position model. The record is from RNAcentral.